GCCCUCGUAGUUGAAUGGAUACAACGACGGUCUUCGGAACCGUAGGUCCCCGUUCGAGUCGGGGCGAGGGCA
Molecule: transfer RNA, 72 nt
Filed under: bacterium
Lineage: Bacteria
Also listed under: 1 other name
Description: tRNA-Arg
Rfam family: tRNA
About the family: Transfer RNA (tRNA) molecules are approximately 80 nucleotides in length. Their secondary structure includes four short double-helical elements and three loops (D, anti-codon, and T loops).
Source: RNAcentral